GUCUAUGGCCAUAUGAACAUGCCUAACCUUGUCUGAUCUUGGAAGCUAAGCAGGGUCCAGCCUGCUUAGUACUUGGAUGGGAGACCAACUAUUAGGUGCUGUCGUCUUUAAAAGAGAACAAGGUGCUGUCGUCU
This is a ribosomal RNA of Cercocebus atys (sooty mangabey), 134 nucleotides long. The record is from Ensembl. Lineage: Eukaryota; Metazoa; Chordata; Mammalia; Primates; Cercopithecidae.